UGCUAAUACCGCAUAACCAUGAACACCGCAUGAUGUUCAUGUAAAAGACGGCUUUUGCUGUCACUUUUGGAUGGGCCUGCGGCGUAUUAACUUGUUGGUGGGGUAACGGCCUACCAAGGUGAUGAUACGUAGCCGAACUGAGAGGUUGAUCGGCCACAUUGGGACUGAGACACGGCCCAAACUCCUACGGGAGGCAGCAGUAGGGAAUCUUCCACAAUGGACGAAAGUCUGAUGGAGCAACGCCGCGUGAAUGAAGAAGGCCUUCGGGUCGUAAAAUUCUGUUGUCAGAGAAGAACGUGCGUGAGAGUAACUGUUCACGUAUUGAUGGUAUCUGACCAGAAAGCCACGGCUAACUACGUGCCAGCAGCCGCGGUAAUACGUAGGUGGCGAGCGUUGUCCGGAUUUAUUGGGCGUAAAGGGAACGCAGGCGGUCUUUUAAGUCUGAUGUGAAAGCCUUCGGCUUAACCGAAGUAGUGCAUUGGAAACUGGAAGACUUGAGUGCAGAAGAGGAGAGUGGAACUCCAUGUGUAGCGGUGAAAUGCGUAGAUAUAUGGAAGAACACCAGUGGCGAAAGCGGCUCUCUGGUCUGUAACUGACGCUGAGGUUCGAAAGCGUGGGUAGCAAACAGGAUUAGAUACCCUGGUAGUCCACGCCGUAAACGAUGAGUGCUAAGUGUUGGAGGGUUUCCGCCCUUCAGUGCUGCAGCUAACGCAUUAAGCACUCCGCCUGGGGAGUACGGUCGCAAGACUGAAACUCAAAGGAAUUGACGGGGGCCCGCACAAGCGGUGGAGCAUGUGGUUUAAUACGAAGCAACGCGAAGAACCUUACCAGGUCUUGACAUCUUCUGACAAUUCCAGAGAUGGAACGUUCCCUUCGGGGACAGAAUGACAGGUGGUGCAUGGUUGUCGUCAGCUCGUGUCGUGAGAUGUUGGGUUAAGUCCCGCAACGAGCGCAACCCUUAUUGUCAGUUGCCAUCAUUAAGUUGGGCACUCUGGCGAGACUGCCGGUGACAAACCGGAGGAAGGUGGGGAUGACGUCAAAUCAUCAUGCCCCUUAUGACCUGGGCUACACACGUGCUACAAUGGACGGUACAACGAGUCGCUAACUCGCGAGGGCAAGCUAAUCUCUUAAAGCCGUUCUCAGUUCGGAUUGCAGGCUGCAACUCGCCUGCAUGAAGUCGGAAUCGCUAGUAAUCGCGAAUCAGCAUGUCGCGGUGAAUACGUUCCCGGCC
Molecule: ribosomal RNA, 1231 nt
Filed under: metagenome
Description: bacterial SSU rRNA
Rfam family: Bacterial small subunit ribosomal RNA
Source: RNAcentral